RNAcentral lists this long non-coding RNA (781 nucleotides) under Numida meleagris (helmeted guineafowl). RNAcentral's name for it is "lncRNA (ENSNMEG00000020601.1)". The record is from RNAcentral. Lineage: Eukaryota; Metazoa; Chordata; Aves; Galliformes; Numididae.
UCCGGAAGACAGAGCUUUCUGUGUUGUUAGUGUCAGCCUUUGUGUCAUAGACUGCAAAUCUCCCUGCUCACUGCUGCUCCACUAAGGCAGCAAAUCAGCUUCAUGCUCUUCUGGCUGAAGGCUUUUGGAAUGGAUAAGAGCAAGGGGAGGGAAAAAAAACCUGCUUCCUUGACAGGGGCAGUCCUAAAGGCUGGCUGCGGAGUGUGCAGCCACUUGCACAACAUUAUUGCACUCUUCCACGGUGGCAAGUUUGAAGAUGAAUACCUGAAGUACUGUGAGGCAGAUUUAAGCACAAGCACCAGCAGCUCAUGCCAAAGCUCCGCUCCCAGACCUAUGAACUGAUGCCAAGCCUCCUGUUUUCAAUUACGCAAACCUUCCACCUCCUGCUCCAGAGGCUGCAAGCACAGAUCCUCCACAUAAGAAUCACGCCACAUAUAGAGCCGAAUCUGAGAAGUGAAGUGGGAAGGAAACAACAGCGUGAGAGGAAGCUGGGUGAAGAGCGAUCAUCAAGAGAGAAAAGAAACAUAAAGCAGGAUAAGCAGCUUUCAGGCACUUGCACUGGAGCACCAGGGAAUGGAUUCUGCAUGGAGCACUGUGUUAUCCAGCCAGCUUCACAUAACCAAAGAAGACCCAUAGAAGAGCCUUAGCUGGACAGCAGUUUAGGCAAAAUAACAACUAUGCAUACUUGGCAAGUGUGGGUGAUGUACAUGCUCUUGGCUGCACUCCUCUCAGAAGAACAAGCCCUGAAACAGGCCUGUCCUUCAUGCAAUGCCUCUCAGUC